This 29-nucleotide non-coding RNA is filed under the name Rattus norvegicus (Norway rat). Lineage: Eukaryota; Metazoa; Chordata; Mammalia; Rodentia; Muridae. The record is from RNAcentral.
UGCCAUUUGCAAGGGUUAAGGAUAUUUCC